UUACCUGGUCUUGACAUCCCGGAGACCCUUAGGAAACUAGGGGGUGCUUCCAUCUGGAAGAAUCUGGAGACAGGUGCUGCAUGGCUGUCGUCUAGCUCGUGUCGUGAGACUGUUGGGUUAAGUCCCGCAACGAGCGCAACCCUUGCCUUUAGUUGCCAGCAGUUCGGCUGGGCACUCUAAAGGGACUGGCCGGUGUUAAACCGGAGGAAGGUGGGGAUGACGUCAAGUCCUCAUGGCCUUUAUGACCAGGGCUACACACGUACUACAAUGGCCGAUACAAAGGGCAGCGACACUGCGAGGUGAAGCCAAUCCCGUAAAAUCGGUCUCAGUCCGGAUUGGAGUCUGCAACUCGACUCCAUGAAGUUGGAAUCGCUAGUAAUCGUGGAUCAGCAUGCCACGGUGAAUACGUUCCCGGGCCUU
Molecule: ribosomal RNA, 420 nt
Filed under: uncultured Desulfobulbus sp.
Lineage: Bacteria; Pseudomonadati; Thermodesulfobacteriota; Desulfobulbia; Desulfobulbales; Desulfobulbaceae
Description: bacterial SSU rRNA
Rfam family: Bacterial small subunit ribosomal RNA
Source: RNAcentral